AACGAACGCUGGCGGCAUGCCUAACACAUGCAAGUCGAACGAGAUCUUCGGAUCUAGUGGCGCACGGGUGCGUAACGCGUGGGAAUCUGCCCUUGGGUGCGGAAUAACUCAGAGAAAUUUGAGCUAAUACCGCAUAAUGUCUUCGGACCAAAGAUUUAUCGCCCAAGGAUGAGCCCGCGUAGGAUUAGCUAGUUGGUGGGGUAAUGGCCUACCAAGGCGACGAUCCUUAGCUGGUCUGAGAGGAUGAUCAGCCACACUGGGACUGAGACACGGCCCAGACUCCUACGGGAGGCAGCAGUGGGGAAUAUUGGACAAUGGGCGAAAGCCUGAUCCAGCAAUGCCGCGUGAGCGAUGAAGGCCUUAGGGUUGUAAAGCUCUUUUACCAGGGAUGAUAAUGACAGUACCUGGAGAAUAAGCUCCGGCUAACUCCGUGCCAGCCGCCGCCGUAACAC
RNAcentral lists this ribosomal RNA (452 nucleotides) under uncultured bacterium. Its description in RNAcentral is "bacterial SSU rRNA". It matches the Rfam family "Bacterial small subunit ribosomal RNA", at positions 29 to 526 of the family's 1533-position model. The record is from RNAcentral.